RNAcentral lists this ribosomal RNA (253 nucleotides) under uncultured bacterium. RNAcentral describes it as "partial 16S ribosomal RNA". It matches the Rfam family "Bacterial small subunit ribosomal RNA", at positions 524 to 776 of the family's 1533-position model. The record is from RNAcentral.
UACGUAGGGGGCAAGCGUUGUCCGGAUUUAUUGGGCGUAAAGAGCGUGUAGGCGGCCAGAUAGGUCUGCUGUGAAAACUCGAGGCUUAACCUCGAGAUGUCGGCGGAAACCAUCUGGCUAGAGUCCGGAAGAGGAGAGUGGAAUUCCUGGUGUAGCGGUGAAAUGCGCAGAUAUCAGGAGGAACACCAAUGGCGAAGGCAGCUCGCUGGGACGUUACUGACGCUGAGACGCGAAAGCGUGGGGAGCAAACAGG